RNAcentral lists this transfer RNA (76 nucleotides) under Mycoplasmatota bacterium. Its description in RNAcentral is "Tenericutes bacterium (anaerobic digester metagenome) tRNA-Glu". It matches the Rfam family "tRNA". Rfam says of the family: Transfer RNA (tRNA) molecules are approximately 80 nucleotides in length. The record is from RNAcentral. Lineage: Bacteria; Bacillati; Mycoplasmatota.
GACCCGUUGGUGAAAUGGUUAACACGCUACCCUCUCAAGGUAGUAUGUGUGGGUUCGAAUCCCAUACGGGUUACCA